ACCAGUAUUUUUCUCAACAUUUAAAACAAUGGAGAAGAUCAUAUCAAUGAAGUUUGCCUUUGUUAUUAUCUUCUUAGUUGUUACAUCCGUGAUGAGUAUUGAGGCAACAAGGUUAUUAUCCGAAGAAGCUCUUCAAACUAUGUUGCAGGGUGAAUCUUUGCCGCAUGGUGAAGAAAAGUUCCAUUUUGGUCGUCACUGUCCAAAAGGGUGUCAUGUGGAAUGUAAUCCCGAUCCUUUUGUUGUAAGAUGUGGUUGUGUGUGUAACCAUUAAUCUGAUCCCUUUUAAUCGAUCUGUAUAAAUAAAAAUAUGUAUUUUUCUUUUAUAAUUAUAUCAAUAAACGACUUGGCCAGUUA
Molecule: long non-coding RNA, 354 nt
Organism: Brassica oleracea var. oleracea
Lineage: Eukaryota; Viridiplantae; Streptophyta; Magnoliopsida; Brassicales; Brassicaceae
Exons: 2
Source: RefSeq, a predicted model, not a curated record